AGCCGCCGGCCACCAGGAUUAGGUACGUGAGCAGCUGCAUUCAUCCAUCUUGCGAGUUAAUUAGCAUAAAUAAAUGCCCAACUGAUUCCGUUACUUUGCAGAUUCUGUAGUGCAGCCUUAUGUGUGAAGCAAGAAAGUUAUGAUCUGGUGACAGAAGUCCUUUGAACGUGGACAAAUCAGUACCAAAACUGAUUUGGUUCUUCCAAUCUGUGUGUACAGUGUUUUUUUCUGAGGAGCAAGUAGGUGGAGCACAUGAGUGACGUGAUACCCCAAACUCUCACUAACUCUUAGCAUCUCAUAAUGUGAUGUCUAUAGGAGAUGGAGCAGCGCCUCGUUGAUGCAUGAGCCGAUGCGGUCUGAAUCAAGCCUGUGCGCAUCUUGGUGAGAAUCGUUGGUCUGGUUUGACCAUAUUUUUGGACUGCAUUUUGUGGUUGUGUGGGAAAUUGUGUGCGGUGUAGGAUAUGUACUGUACAUGGAUUGCAAUUGCAGGACUGAUGGUAAGGUUUGAUCAAUGAACAUCGACAUAAUUUAU
RNAcentral lists this long non-coding RNA (532 nucleotides) under Triticum aestivum (bread wheat). RNAcentral describes it as "long non-coding RNA (TAES_LNC004044)". Lineage: Eukaryota; Viridiplantae; Streptophyta; Magnoliopsida; Poales; Poaceae. The record is from RNAcentral.